AGCUUUGUGGGGAGGCAGUAUCAUGGCCAAUGAGGUUUAUCUGAGGCACAAUUAUUGCUAAUUGAAAGGAAUAUUAUACAUCAUUACCUUAUCUUAACCUACAAAAGCAAACUUCAAUUGCGCCUGUUUUUAUGCAUAUUGUAAAAUA
Non-coding RNA from Ailuropoda melanoleuca (giant panda), 148 nucleotides. Lineage: Eukaryota; Metazoa; Chordata; Mammalia; Carnivora; Ursidae. The record is from Rfam.